GAUGAACGCUGGCGGCGUGCCUAAUACAUGCAAGUCGAACGAGGUGCUUUUGUAGCAAUACGAGAGUAUCCUAGUGGCGAACGGGUGAGUAACGCGUUGGUGACCUACCCCAAAGUGUGGGAUAACAGUCCGAAAGGAUUGCUAAUACCGCAUGUGGUCUUCGGAUUUAGAAACUGAUGACUAAAGGNGCAAUUCGCUUUGGGAGGGACCUGCGUCCCAUCAGCUAGUUGGUGAGGUAAUGGCUCACUAAGGCUACGACGGGUAGGGGACCUGAGAGGGUGACCCCCCACAAUGGAACUGAAACACGGUCCAUACACCUACGGGUGGCAGCAGUAGGGAAUAUUGCACAAUGGGCGAAAGCCUGAUGCAGCAACGCCGCGUGUGCGAUGAAGGCCCUCGGGUCGUAAAGCUACUUUUCUGAGAGAUGAGCAAGGACAGUAUCUCAGGAAUAAGUCUCGGCUAACUACGUGCCAGCGCCGCGGUAAAG
Molecule: ribosomal RNA, 487 nt
Filed under: uncultured bacterium
Lineage: Bacteria
Description: bacterial SSU rRNA
Rfam family: Bacterial small subunit ribosomal RNA
Source: RNAcentral